AGUCGUAACAAGGUUUCCGUAGGUGACCUGCGGAAGGAUCAUUAUUGAAUUUUUGGGAAGGGGGUUGUAGCUGGCCUUUCGAGGCACGUGCACGCCCCUGUCCAAAUUCCACCUUUUACCCCCUGUGCACUUUGUGUAGGCCGAGAAAUCGGUCUAUGUUUCUUUACACACCAAAAGAAUAUGGAAUGUUUUAUGUAGGCUUUUAAUAAAGCUGAAAUAAUCAUACAACUUUCAACAACGGAUCUCUUGGCUCUCGCAUCGAUGAAGAACGCAGCGAAAUGCGAUAAGUAAUGUGAAUUGCAGAAUUCAGUGAAUCAUCGAAUCUUUGAACGCACCUUGCGCUCCUUGGUAUUCCGAGGAGCAUGCCUGUGUUGAGUGUCAUUAAAUUCUUCAACUUUGCCAGGUUUGUUUCGAACCUUGUGCGAAGCUUGGAUUUGGAGUGUGCUGGCUCUCACGAGUUGGCUCCUCUUGAAUGCGUUAGCGAAACCUUACAAAGGGGGAUAGGCUUUGAUUUGAUAGCUAUCUAUGUCAUCGCCGUGAUACCUCGCAUAUCAAUAUUUGGUUCGCUAUCAAUAAGCGGAGGAGCAUAUCAAUAAGCGGAGGACAAUCACUCGUUUUUGACAUUGACCUCAAAUCAGGUAG
Molecule: ribosomal RNA, 642 nt
Filed under: Gliophorus sp. AM05
Lineage: Eukaryota; Fungi; Basidiomycota; Agaricomycetes; Agaricales; Hygrophoraceae
Description: eukaryotic LSU rRNA
Rfam family: 5.8S ribosomal RNA (bases 227-381)
Source: RNAcentral